GACGAACGCUGGCGGCGUGCUUAACACAUGCAAGUCGAACGGAAAGGCCCUGCUUUUGUGGGGUGCUCGAGUGGCGAACGGGUGAGUAACACGUGAGUAACCUGCCCUUGACUUUGGGAUAACUUCGGGAAACUGGGGCUAAUACCGGAUAGGAGCUCCUGCUGCAUGGUGGGGGUUGGAAAGUUUUGGCGGUUGGGGAUGGACUCGCGGCUUAUCAGCUUGUUGGUGGGGUAGUGGCUUACCAAGGCUUUGACGGGUAGCCGGCCUGAGAGGGUGACCGGCCACAUUGGGACUGAGAUACGGCCCAGACUCCUACGGGAGGCAGCAGUGGGGAAUAUUGCACAAUGGGCGGAAGCCUGAUGCAGCAACGCCGCGUGCGGGAUGACGGCCUUCGGGUUGUAAACCGCUUUCGCCUGUGACGAAGCGUGAGUGGCGGUAAUGGGUAAAGAAGCACCGGCUAACUACGUG
Molecule: ribosomal RNA, 468 nt
Filed under: uncultured bacterium
Lineage: Bacteria
Description: partial 16S ribosomal RNA
Rfam family: Bacterial small subunit ribosomal RNA
Source: RNAcentral